RNAcentral lists this ribosomal RNA (502 nucleotides) under uncultured bacterium. RNAcentral describes it as "partial 16S ribosomal RNA". It matches the Rfam family "Bacterial small subunit ribosomal RNA", at positions 29 to 523 of the family's 1533-position model. The record is from RNAcentral.
AUUGAACGCUGGCGGCAUGCCUUACACAUGCAAGUCGAACGGCAGCAUGGGUGCUUGCACCUGAUGGCGAGUGGCGAACGGGUGAGUAAUGCAUCGGAACGUACCCGGAAGUGGGGGAUAACGUAGCGAAAGUUACGCUAAUACCGCAUAUUCUGUGAGCAGGAAAGCGGGGGAUCGCAAGACCUCGCGCUUCCGGAGCGGCCGAUGUCGGAUUAGCUAGUUGGCGGGGUAAAGGCCCACCAAGGCGACGAUCCGUAGCGGGUCUGAGAGGAUGAUCCGCCACACUGGGACUGAGACACGGCCCAGACUCCUACGGGAGGCAGCAGUGGGGAAUUUUGGACAAUGGGGGCAACCCUGAUCCAGCCAUGCCGCGUGAGUGAAGAAGGCCUUCGGGUUGUAAAGCUCUUUCGGCCGGGAAGAAAUCGCAUCUCCUAAUACGGGGUGUGGAUGACGGUACCGGAAUAAGAAGCACCGGCUAACUACGUGCCAGCCGCCGCCGUAA